AUUUUUUUAGUAUAUAAGUAUAUUUGACUUCCAAUCAAAAGGACUCAAACGAGAAAAAAUA
RNAcentral lists this transfer RNA (61 nucleotides) under Rhagovelia reitteri. Its description in RNAcentral is "tRNA-Gly". Lineage: Eukaryota; Metazoa; Arthropoda; Insecta; Hemiptera; Veliidae. RNAcentral also lists the same sequence under 1 other name. The record is from RNAcentral.